This is a long non-coding RNA of Sebastes umbrosus (honeycomb rockfish), 261 nucleotides long. RefSeq lists it as uncharacterized. The record is from RefSeq and is a predicted model, not a curated record. The transcript is spliced from 3 exons. NCBI's taxonomy places the organism in Eukaryota, Metazoa, Chordata, Actinopteri, Perciformes, Sebastidae.
AGUUUCUUUUUUUUUUUUCCAGAUUUAUUUAUUUAUUUAUUUUGCCGUUGUUUUUGUAUUUCUUUUUUUUUUUGGUAGGAAAAGUAUCCUUUUUUUGUUCAUUUUUUUUGAAGAUACUGGACUUAACAACACUCAGGUUUCCCAGCCUUGACUCUCUCUGGCUGACAUCAGCAGUCAUGUGGUAGCAGAGGAGCAGAUGCCAUUAGGAGCACCGGAGGACACCGAAGGACACAACGGAGGACACACCGAAGGACACCGGAG